GGUACCUGGAUGGAGGCCUGAGUCUGGAUCACUUUAAGAGACCUGUGUUUUUGGAUUUCUGAGUAACCAGCAAGCUCUCUUUUGUCAGCGUCCUGCCCAGGCAAAGGGCUUGCAGCAUGUUAACCUCUCCUUCUGGCUGAAGAUAGCUAGACUUCUCCUUCAAGAACUGGUCCACAAGGGCACGCUGAAGAGGGAUACCAGGAUUAAGGAGGCAGAUAAAGAAGCAACCACCAUCCUUUAUCGCAAACUGGAAUCCCAAAUUUUGUACUACCGUUUGAUCACCAGGUGCAGGAACUCUUACAAUUUAACCCAACUUUGGCACCACAAAGGGUCCUGGCUCCAAGUUAGAGAAAUCAAUCAAGAGGAAGAGAAAGCUACCUAUUGAAUCAAGAUCUCUGACUGCUGCUCCUGGAUAGGACACCUCCAAGAAAUAGCUAAGUUCUGACCAGAUCCAAACUUGAAGAGAACAGCUUCCUUUUUCCCCUGGGAGACCUGACUGCAAGAUUGGCUGAAGUUAGAUUGUGUAAUUAAGUAAGCAAACAUAUGUCAGCUCAGGACUGGUAACUAUCUGUGAAAAAUAGAAGCAUCCAAAGAGAUUUUGCUACAAAGGGCAUAAAACCAACCUGCCCUGCCUUCAGUGUAAUUUUGAUGCUAUAACUCCCAAAAUGGAGCA
Molecule: long non-coding RNA, 673 nt
Organism: Mauremys reevesii (Reeves's turtle)
Lineage: Eukaryota; Metazoa; Chordata; Testudines; Geoemydidae
Exons: 3
Source: RefSeq, a predicted model, not a curated record